This 353-nucleotide unclassified non-coding RNA is filed under the name fungal sp. Its description in RNAcentral is "partial internal transcribed spacer region". The stretch from base 1 to 46 matches the Rfam family "Eukaryotic small subunit ribosomal RNA", at positions 1786 to 1831 of the family's 1831-position model. RNAcentral also lists the same sequence under 1 other name. The record is from RNAcentral. Lineage: Eukaryota; Fungi.
AAGUCGUAACAAGGUUUCCGUAGGUGAACCUGCGGAAGGAUCAUUAACACGUAUCCAACGUUAAACAACCCUGUGAACUUUCAACCCCGCCGGAAUGAGAUUAAUUUCCAACUCCGGCGAAGACAAGUGACCUGGCACCUGACCUCAUCAAAGCUCUGACAGCGUGCCUCUGGAUGCUUAAUGGAAGGGUGACGCAGUAACGAUCGCUGGAGGCCCACACGGCCGGCGACCGGGUCAGCGGCAUUCUUUAAUGCCCCUUAAAACCACUUAACAUGACGACAGUUCCUCUUUAACUUGAGUUGAGCUAUAACAAAAAACUAAUACAACUGUUAACAAUGGAUAUCUUGGUUCUC